RNAcentral lists this ribosomal RNA (253 nucleotides) under uncultured bacterium. Its description in RNAcentral is "partial 16S ribosomal RNA". It matches the Rfam family "Bacterial small subunit ribosomal RNA", at positions 524 to 776 of the family's 1533-position model. The record is from RNAcentral.
UACGUAGGGUCCAAGCGUUAUCCGGAUUUAUUGGGCGUAAAGCACAUGUAGGUGGUUUUCUAAGUCUCGUCUUAAAGCUCUGGGCUCAACCCAGAAUCUGGACGAGAUACUAGAAGGCUUGUGGUCAGCAGGGGCAAACGGAAUUCCCGGUGUAGGAGUGAAAUCCGUUGAUAUCGGGAGGAACACCAAUGGCGAAGGCAGUUUGCUAGGCUGAUUCAGACACUGAGAUGUGAAAGCGUGGGGAGCGAACGGG